AAAAAAAGACAACAGAGUGAAUCCUCAAUAAGGCAAAACACAUGGCUAUUUUUCAUUUUCCUAUAAUUGUUUUCAUCUAAGAAAAGUUCGUCCACAUUUUAUGUCAAAACAUAUUCAAUUCUUUUGGGGACAUAAUAUGAAUGACACAAAAGAAUUAAUAUAUAACGUUUUUCGUGAACAUAAAAUAGAAUAACUUGGCUCUCGGUCUUCUUCUUCUUCUCUCUAAAAAGUCUCCAAAUCAGAAAAUCGUUUCCGGUGACCGGUGGCUUGGUUACCAUUAUGUUUUGUCUUUUGAUGUAAAAUAACUUCGGUCAAUCUUUGAUCGAUUUAUAGUUUCGCUUGGCGAAUUUACUCUUCGCUUUGACGAGUUAUUUUGAAGUGUAAAGCUCAAUCAAAUCGGAACGUUUAUCAAUCUCAUCUUCUUCUGAUAUGGAUUGAGCAUACCUAUAGUUAUGUCCCAGUUCUUCUCCUUCUACCUAUAUUCUGAUUCUGUUUGGUCGAAAUGGUUUUGUUUUCUUCUUUGUUAGAUAAGCUUAGUCCUUGACUCGGAGGUGGUAUAAAGCUUCGACUCGUGUUUGUGUGAAGUCUCCACGAAGAUCAAGUCCUGAGUUUUCGAUCAUGCUUUCGAGUUUCAAGUCAGAAUCGAGAAGAUUUGGAGCUACCAUAAGGGUCAGCGUUCCAAUAAGAUUCCAAGCUUGAUUCUUCUAAAGCUUUUCCUGGUGCUUAAUUCUAACAAUUGGAGAAGAAGAUCAUGAGAUCGACGGUGAUUGAAGGUUGAAGAACAUACAAGCAGCCUCAAGUAUGUCGAAGAUGGAGAUGAUCGGCAUUCCGGCGAGUUGGUUCCGGCACUGCUCUUCCUUCCUCGACUAAGGUGUGGAAGCCACGUAGAGACCACGUGUCACUCAUGCGGUUGUAGUUAUCUGUAAAAUAUGGGCUUCAUGUUGGGCUUAAUGUAUAAUGAGACUUUUUGUACUUGCCAUUUGGGCUGUCGUUUUAAUAAAACGAACCGUUGACAAAAAAAUAAAAAUAAAUAAAUAACUUGUAAUUUUUUCUUAUUUCGAAGCUGGAUGCCAG
This 1074-nucleotide long non-coding RNA is filed under the name Brassica napus (rape). RNAcentral's name for it is "long non-coding RNA (BNAP_LNC010716)". The record is from RNAcentral. Lineage: Eukaryota; Viridiplantae; Streptophyta; Magnoliopsida; Brassicales; Brassicaceae.